This 471-nucleotide long non-coding RNA is filed under the name Homo sapiens (human). Its description in RNAcentral is "non-protein coding lnc-KLHL11-2:1". The record is from RNAcentral. Lineage: Eukaryota; Metazoa; Chordata; Mammalia; Primates; Hominidae.
UAGGGGGUGUCAACGAGCUGGCAAACUAUGGGGAGUACUCAGGCGCCCCCAGCGAGCAGCAGACCUAUGACUAUGCCAAGACUAUCCUCUCCCUCAUGACCCGAGAGAAGCACCCAGAUGGCAAGAUCCUCAUCAUUGGAGGCAGCAUCGCAAACUUCACCAACGUGGCUGCCACGUUCAAGGUAACAGUUGCAACAGUGGUGCAGUUUCUGGGGAAAGUGGUUUGGGGAAAGCAGGGAAGGGGCCUUGAAAGCAGAGUUUGAGCCAGAGCCAAGUUACCAUGAGUUCCCAGGUCAGGUAGGGAGCUCUUGCCCCAGGGUCUCUUAAAGGGGUGGAGAAGACACUGGGACAGGAGCUGCCCAUCUGCGCUGUGUGUCUCUGGGCAAGCAGCUGCUACGCUGAACUAUAACUCUCCCACCUGAAGCAUGGGAGGCGAAUUUCUGCUUUCUUCCUUCUCAGGACCAAUGCUUU